UGAGAGAUUCAUGAUGGGAAUCCGUUCGUGUGGUUAUGGGGGUGAGAAGUCCCACGGCCCAGAAGCUAGAGGCCCAGGAAAACCAACGGUGUGAUUUCAUCAGGGUCCAAAGGCCUGGGACUCAGGGCCGAUGGUGUGACUCCCAGCCUGGGUCUGAGCACCUGAGGACCAGGGGUGCCGGCAUCCGAGGGCAGCAGGAGGACUGGGAGCUAUGUCGGGGCAGAGAGAGUAUCAACUACAUACCACUCCUGACAGGUGCUCAGGACCCUGCUGUUGAAUGGACGAACUCUGCAGCACCCGCCCCGCAGCUCCAUACCCGCUAGGGUCACAGAGCUCCUGAUGCCAGGCUCGGGGAGCUCCCAGGGCCCGUGGGGAGCCACACCAUCCGCAACCAACAUCUCGGAGCUGGCAUGUUGCUAUGCGGAGGCUGAGCUCAUUCUCAGAGGUUAAGCCUGACCCGGCAAUAGAGCAGUAUCUUCAUCUCAAAAGCACACGCCCUUUGGCUCCACAGUUGCGUUCCUAGGAGCAGAUCUCGCCAACAGCUCUGCACGGUUGGCACUGGGGGCCAGAUCACUCUUCGUUGCAGGCUGUCCUGUGUCCUGGGGGGUGUUUAGCUGUCUCCCUGGACCUCCAUCCACAAGACACCAGCGGCACUGCCGCUCCAGUUAGGGCAGAAAGGUCUCCAGACAUUGCCAAAUGUCCCCCGGAGUCAGGGUGGGGCACAAUCUCCCCAUCUGAGAACUACCAGCAAUGGCACCCAGUAAAGAACAAGGAGCAGGCCGCCUGUCCACCAGGAGUGGCCUGGAAAGGAGCUCAUGGGCCCCCAUGCCAUGUGUGUGUGUCCCGUGGCUGCUGAAACAAAUCUGCAGACUAGGUCAGGGGUCUGAAGUUGGUAUCCGGGGCCAACUCAGGGGUCAGCAGGGUCGGGCUGCCUGUGGGGGCCCUGGAGGGAAUCUGGGCCCUUGCCUUGUCUGGAGGCGGCGGGCAUUCCUCGGCUCGUGCCCCCAGCUCCUUCUUGCUUUAGUUGUCACACUUGCUGUUGUCAGAUCACCCUCUGCCUUUCUCUUACAAGUGUCCUUGUGAUUGCACUGGGCCCCCUGGGAAAAUUCAGGAUCUUCUCCCACCACUAAAUCCUUAAGGACGUGGGCAAAAUCCCUUUUGUCACAUGUUUCCAACUUGCAGAGUGGGAUUUGGGUGUCUCUGGGGCCAUUCCUCAGCCCACCACACCAUGGCCGGUAAUGAAUGGGGUCCUCAAAAAGACUGAAACAGCUCUACAAUCAUCCAUGUGUUCACACUGGGAAUAGAUGUCCAGGCCCACACAGAGGCUGAGGGCUCAGCAGCGAGCAAAACCACGUGGCUGCCCUCCAGAGCCUGCACCUGGCUGGGGCACGACAACGAUAAACAGAUAAAUGCAGCAUCUCAGGGCCUUAGACAAGUCACCUGACACCCUGAAGCCAAUUUCUUCAAGUGUGAAAUGGGGUGGAAACACCAACGUCCUACCACAGGGUCAUGUGAGGUGAACCUGCUCCCAGGUGGCAAGGUCCCAGAAGGAGCAGUUUCUGGUAUUGUUUUGUUUUGUAGGCGUGGAGGGUUUGCGUUGUGCAUUACACUAAGUGGGUCCAUGUCAUAAUGAUACAGUCAGAAUAUUGAAUAACAAUAAUGAGCAUUUUCUUAAAUGGCGAAUCACAAAAUGAAUUCCCACGUCUCGGGCACAAUAAAACAUCCACCAGAUUACACGGACAAGAAAGUUCAUAGCAGCUUUACACGUGAUGGCUCCAAACUGGAAAAUGCAAAUGCCAUGUGACAGAAGCGUGGACCUACUGUGGUACAGUCAUACACAGAGUGCCCCCUGGUGAUAAAGUGAACCAUCAGCAUGGCUGAAUCUCACAGACAUAAUUUCGAGUGAAAGCCAUCAGACGGCAGAGAGAAUACUUGGUGUGGACGUCCUUUGCAGAGUUCAAGAACAGGAAAAUCACUCUAAGGUCAUAGAUCAUCAGAUCUAUGGUUUCGGGCAAGGGCUGGAACAUGGACUGGGAUGUGAGGGGUCCUUCUAAAGAAUUGAAAACAACCUGUAUCUUGAUCUGAGUGGAGGUUACCGAGGUGUACAGACUUGUAAAAUUCCUUGAGCCAUACAUACGCUUAAGAUCUGUGCACCUCGCUGUAGUUAUAUCCCAAGCAAAAAUCUUAGAAGGCAAAGAGAAUCUUUAAAAAAUUAAAAUGGAAACAAUAUACAACCAACAAUGCCCCCUUAAAAAUUGGCUGCAGUUAUCUAAAAUUAUUUGUGAAAAUAUUUGCUAGGCUUCAAUAUUUCAAGAAUGCAAAUUCCCAAUAAUAACUAUUUUAUUGUUGUUGUUAAAAAGCACAUUAAAACCUGUAGUUUAUGUCCCCCGGCUCCCUUCCCCCACGAGACCUACCUCCAACCCCCGUUCCCACUUCCAUUUGGUGUUUAUCCAAAUCCCAAGCAUUUCUUUACACUUUCAUUACAUAGGUACAUAUCCCUAAACUGUACGUUGUAUUAUUUUGCAUGUUCUUAUGAUUUAUGGAAAUGGUUUCAUACUGCCACUUGCUUUUUUGGUCAGCAUCAUCUCUGUGAGAUGUAUCCAUCAUUCUGUUGAUUGACAUGGAGAUUUUUUUCUAGCUUUUGCCAUUACAAACGAAACUGCACUGAACACAGAGGUAGUCAACAUUAUUCACAAAAUCAGCAUGUAUUAGCCUUUAUUAUGUGCCAGGCAUUCUGUUCUGUCUCUUUUUGUCACAAGGGGCUUAUUUGCAGGAGAUGUUAUUCAUUGUCCUGCCUGCUUUCU
Molecule: non-coding RNA, 2804 nt
Organism: Manis javanica (Malayan pangolin)
Lineage: Eukaryota; Metazoa; Chordata; Mammalia; Pholidota; Manidae
Source: RefSeq, a predicted model, not a curated record